Molecule: ribosomal RNA, 468 nt
Filed under: uncultured bacterium
Lineage: Bacteria
Description: partial 16S ribosomal RNA
Rfam family: Bacterial small subunit ribosomal RNA
Source: RNAcentral
GACGAACGCUGGCGGCGUGCUUAACACAUGCAAGUCGAACGGAAAGGCCCUGCUUUUGUGGGGUGCUCGAGUGGCGAACGGGUGAGUAACACGUGAGUAUCCUGCCCUUGACUUUGGGAUAACUUCAGGAAACUGGGGCUAAUACAGGAUAGGAGAUCCUGCUGCUUGGUGGGGGUUGGAAAGUUUCGGCGGUUGGGGAUGGACUCGCGGCUCAUCAGCUUGUUGGUGGGGUAGUGGCUUACCAAGGCUUUGACGGGUAGCCGGCCUGGGAGGGGGACCGGCCACAUUGGGACUGAGAUAGGGCCCAGACUCCUACGGGAGGCAGCAGUGGGAAAUAUUGCACAAUGGGCGGAAGCCUGAUGCAGCAACGCCGCGUGCGGGAUGACGGCCUUCGGGUUAUAAACCGCUUUCGCCUGUGACGAAGCGUGAGUGACGGUAAUGGGUAAAGAAGCACCGGCUAACUACGUG